UAGGGAAUCUUCGGCAAUGGACGAAAGUCUGACCGAGCAACGCCGCGUGAGUGAAGAAGGUUUUCGGAUCGUAAAACUCUGUUGUUAGAGAAGAACAAGGACGUUAGUAACUGAACGUCCCCUGACGGUAUCUAACCAGAAAGCCACGGCUAACUACGUGCCAGCAGCCGCGGUAAUACGUAGGUGGCAAGCGUUGUCCGGAUUUAUUGGGCGUAAAGCGAGCGCAGGCGGUUUCUUAAGUCUGAUGUGAAAGCCCCCGGCUCAACCGGGGAGGGUCAUUGGAAACUGGGAGACUUGAGUGCAGAAGGGGAGAGUGGAAUUCCAUGUGUAGCGGUGAAAUGCGUAGAUAUAUGGAGGAACACCAGUGGCGAAGGCGGCUCUCUGGUCUGUAACUGACGCUGUGGCUCGAAGGCGUGGGGGGCAAACAGG
RNAcentral lists this ribosomal RNA (429 nucleotides) under Gemmatimonadota bacterium. Its description in RNAcentral is "Gemmatimonadetes bacterium partial 16S ribosomal RNA". It matches the Rfam family "Bacterial small subunit ribosomal RNA", at positions 355 to 776 of the family's 1533-position model. Lineage: Bacteria; Pseudomonadati; Gemmatimonadota. The record is from RNAcentral.